RNAcentral lists this ribosomal RNA (460 nucleotides) under uncultured bacterium. Its description in RNAcentral is "partial 16S ribosomal RNA". It matches the Rfam family "Bacterial small subunit ribosomal RNA", at positions 338 to 795 of the family's 1533-position model. The record is from RNAcentral.
CCUACGUGUGGCUGCAGUGAGGAAUAUUGGUCAAUGUGCGAGAGCCUGAACCAGCCCAGUCGCGUGAAGGAUGACGGCCCUACGGGUUGUAAACUUCUUUUGUAAGGGAGCAAUUGGGUCCACGCGUGGGCUUAGCGAGAGUACCUGAAUACAAAGCAUAGGCUAACUCCGUGCCAGCCGCCGCGGUCAUACGGGGGAUGCGAGCGAUAUUCGGAUUUAUUGGGUUUACAGGGUGCGUAGGCGGAACAUAAAGUCAGAGGUAAAAAUUCGGGGGUCAACCCCGUCGUGCCGGUGAAACUGAUGUUCUUGAGUGGGCGAGAAGUAUGCGGAAUGCGUGGUGUAGCGGUGAAAUGCAUAGAUAUCACGCAGAACUCCGAUUGCGAAGGCAGCAUACCGGCGCCCAACUGACGCUGAAGCACGAAAGCGUGGGUAUCGAACAGGAUUAGAUACCCUAGUAGUC